RNAcentral lists this ribosomal RNA (256 nucleotides) under uncultured bacterium. RNAcentral describes it as "partial 16S ribosomal RNA". It matches the Rfam family "Bacterial small subunit ribosomal RNA", at positions 524 to 776 of the family's 1533-position model. The record is from RNAcentral.
GACGUAGGUGGCGAACGUUAUCCGGAAUUAUUGGGCGUAAAGGGUGCGUAGAUGGUUUGAUAAGUUAGUGGUGGGAAAUCGAGGCUCAACCUCGUGGAAGUCACUAAUACUAUCAAACUAGAGUGCAGGAGAGGUUAACGGAACUCCAUGUGUAGCGGUAAAAUGCGACGAUAUAUGGAUGAACACCAAUAACGGCGAAGGCAGUUAACUAUUCUGCUACUGACAUUGAGGCAUGAAAGCGUGGGGAGCAAAACGG